RNAcentral lists this long non-coding RNA (438 nucleotides) under Nicotiana benthamiana. Its description in RNAcentral is "long non-coding RNA (NBEN_LNC022957)". The record is from RNAcentral. Lineage: Eukaryota; Viridiplantae; Streptophyta; Magnoliopsida; Solanales; Solanaceae.
GUAAAUAUGAGCCUUUAAUUGAUUUUUUAUGUGACAAUCCCACCUGUUUUGCUUGUCGCCUAGUUUUCUCCUUUUAAACACCAUAGGUGAGUCUAGAACCACCUUAAAUAGAGGUUCUAAACACUUCUAGGGCAACAGGUAAGGGACGGGUAAUGCUCACAUAAGACACGUACUAGAUGCUAUUAGAACGCUUAGGUAAUAAUAAAGGGGAGGGUAAUCGGGUAGUAAAGGAUAUGAUGCAUGUGCCCUAAUGCGAUGUGUAGCACCCCAACUUGGGAAUGAUUAUCAAGUAUUUCACAAAUGUGAUCUUGUAGGCUAAAAAAACCUAGGACUCCUUUACUCCUUGUUUUAAAUGUAAUAUCUAUUUGUCUAAAUUGCUUUAUUUUCUUACAAGACUAAUUCACUUAAAUUGAGUUUGGCCGGGACCCACCAUUAUGG